RNAcentral lists this ribosomal RNA (525 nucleotides) under Triticum aestivum (bread wheat). RNAcentral describes it as "partial small subunit ribosomal RNA". Lineage: Eukaryota; Viridiplantae; Streptophyta; Magnoliopsida; Poales; Poaceae. The record is from RNAcentral.
AUGAGGUCAAGAGACUAUAAUUCGAAUGAUAUGUGGAGGGAGCGGGGCGUCUUACCCGCAUCAAUCGAUACCAUGGUGUCACAUAUACACGAAGGUUAUUCUUCAUUUCAUCCCAAAUUGGUAUACAAAGUCUAUAAAUAUGGUGGGAUAGGUAUGACUAUGCAGGAACAUUUCACUCUUGAAAGGCAAGAUGCGCUUGGGUAUUGUUGUGCCAGGCGCCCACUCAUCAAUGCUGGUGAUUGGCCUUGUAUGGAUGCCCCAUCCCUUUCAGCAGAUGUACUAAUUUUGAAAGCAUUAGUGAAUAUCUUAAUGCGAGAGUUUAUAUGGGGAAGAAACAAUCUUCCGCCUAGAUUAACUCAUUAUAAUGAAAUGGUGAGUUUCCACGAGGAGUUCUGGGAUGGUAAAAGGGGUGUAGAUAAAAUAGUCUGUGUGGAUUUGAGUCAUAGUAUCCACUAUGUUUCUACUCCACGUCUAUGGAAUACAUUAAAAUUUCUACACAAUCUGGGGGUGAUUCGCAUAUCUUAA